RNAcentral lists this ribosomal RNA (363 nucleotides) under Triticum aestivum (bread wheat). Its description in RNAcentral is "partial small subunit ribosomal RNA". Lineage: Eukaryota; Viridiplantae; Streptophyta; Magnoliopsida; Poales; Poaceae. The record is from RNAcentral.
AUGAGCUCUGAAGAGUCCGGCGGUGCCGUCACGUCGGCCUCUCUCGCCGCGAUCCACGAGGUCAUGGCACUCAGCAUGCCCUCACCCCUCGGCUCCGCCUGCGGGUGGUCGUCGACGCCAUCGCCAGCUGCUGCUUUGAGGCCGGAGUUGUGGCUGCCACCAAGGAGGCCAUCUCGAUGCGGAUGCUGCAGGACGUGCCUGCACUACCCUGCCACCCCUACAUUUCUGGACCAGUACAUCUGCUCCGUCGUGAACACAUGCUUCGUGUCAUACAGGCCGCCGCACAGGGUGAGCUCCUGCAGCGGUUUAGGUAUAUAUGUGCAUCGCACAAGGGCAACUACAGUUUCUUGCAAGUUAAAGUAA